UAGCCCAUCGCCGAACCACAGUCCAUUCAGGUCUCGUGGAAUGUGGCGUUUGGGAGAGUCUUCUCGUGGUGUGGACGGCCAGUCAAAGUCCAACUUGACAGUGGCCAUGGCCCAUAGAGGGUGAUAGGCCCGUAAGGCGGCUGUCCUGCUGCGCUGACUUUUCCCUAGAGUCGGGUUGCUUGGGAGUGCAGCCCAAAGUGCGAGGUAAACUCCUCGUAAGGCUAAAUAUGACCCCGAGACCGAUAGCAAACAAGUACCGUGAGGGAAGAUUGAAAAGAACUUUGAAGAGAGAGUUCAAGAGUACGUGAAACUGUGUGGUGGUAAACGGAGGGGUUCUCGAAGUUUCCAAGGGGGACUCAACCUUGGUGGUUGUGGGUUCUUGGCAUUUGUGAUCAGAUUAAAUGACAUGGUGCUUUGUCCCCGCGGCCUCCCGGACGCACUUUCCCCUUGGUUGACGGCAGGAACUGUUAGGAGUGGACCAAAGGCCUGAGGUGAAGUUGUUGGUUAUGCUGGCAGCCCUCAGUGUCCUGGCUUCGCACCUGACAGGUACUUGAGUAAACUUGUAUAGCGAGCGGCCUUUGUUGCUGCGGUUUGCAUUUCUCUGCCGAGUAGGUCGGUGGCCCCUCCGACCCGUCUUGAAACACGGACCAAGGAGUCUAACAUGUACGCGAGCCAUUGGGUUGACUAAACCUAAAGGCGCAGUGAAGGCAAAGAGUAGCUGGUCUGCUUUAGGGACGAUCCGUGAGGCGCAGUCCCGCGACUUCCAAUCGACCUCGCAUCGUUGGGAGUACGUAGAGCGUAGAUGUUGGGACCCGAAAGAUGGUGAACUAUGCCUGGCCAGGUUGAAGUCAGGGGAAACCCUGAUGGAGGACCGUAGCGA
Molecule: ribosomal RNA, 880 nt
Filed under: Arietellus setosus
Lineage: Eukaryota; Metazoa; Arthropoda; Copepoda; Calanoida; Arietellidae
Description: partial large subunit ribosomal RNA
Rfam family: Eukaryotic large subunit ribosomal RNA
Source: RNAcentral